This is a long non-coding RNA of Aphis gossypii (cotton aphid), 1278 nucleotides long. RefSeq lists it as uncharacterized. The record is from RefSeq and is a predicted model, not a curated record. The transcript is spliced from 3 exons. Lineage: Eukaryota; Metazoa; Arthropoda; Insecta; Hemiptera; Aphididae.
ACGGAUACAAAGUUCUCGUUGGAGCAGCUCGAGGUUUUGCAAACAAAGAAUGAGGUCGUUUAUUUCGGUGUCAAGGACUACAAGCUACAACUGUGUAACCGGAUUCUGUAGAUUUUUUCAAACCGGCGUUCAUUCUUCGAGACGAUCCACUUCUACGCUGCGCAGUCCGUCGACAAUCUUCUACAGAAUUUAAAAAACUUCGUACUCUCCAUCAGUGGUUAGAGAGGGGAGUGAUGUGGUGAGCCGUUACCACAAUACAUUUAGGCCGGGUUGGAAAACGUAUAAAUCAAUUGGUAAACAUGUUUUUCGGCGGCACAACCGGUCAUCGCGUCAGUUGACGUAUGUAUAGUUUUAUACCGACGCCUCCUAUAUUUCGUAACCACCGUUAUCACCACGCAUUCGAGGGAUCAAUUGCGCACUCAAUAAACACAGUCUUUGCUUGAUGAAAACAAUUACUAUUAUCGCGAAGUAUGUGAUAAAGUGAUCCAAGUUAGACAAGUAACGGGUGACGUUCUGAACGGUGAUGUGACCAAGACGGCGGUAAUCCCCUCAGCAACGAAGUGAUCUGUUCGUUUUUGGACGGCAGGCGGAGCGGUCUUGGCCAAGCGUUGCAUGAGGGGAGAAUGGUCAUUUGUUUGCGUAGGAAAGCGUAUUCACGACGUGCGAUAUUGAUCCGGUCUGGUGACAACUUCCGAGAUCAAGCACAACAUGGCGGGUCUAUUGUCUGGAGAACGUGUUCAACUUCGACCGAUGUAUACCUCACGGCAGCAAACGAAAUUCGAAACUAAAAUGGAUCUUUUAAAUAACAACGUUUCGCGUUCGAUCGUUCCUGAGGGAUUCCGGCACGGAGUCAGACAACAGGCCGUGACUUCGAAUUAUUACACAAACACGUGAUCAUUCACCCCUCAUUCAGCUUUUGGCCGAGGCAACUUCUCUUGGUGCUCAAGAAGGACAAGUCAUUCGACCCUGUAGAUACUACCGUCUAAAUCCUGUAAAACGCGGACCGUAACCGCUGCUCACUCGCAUCAUUCCGGGAGUGGUCUUCUUUAUUACUCGCUGCUCAACUCGCCAUUCAAUACGUCGUGGAUUAUCGAAGAUAGACAUUCGACACUUCACACGGAUACAAAGUUCUCGUUGGAGCAGCUCGAGGUUUUGCAAACAAAGAAUGAGGUCGUUUAUUUCGGUGUCAUGGACUACAAGCUACAACUGUGUAACCGGAUUCUGUAGAUUUUUUCAAACCGGCGUUCAUUCUUCGAGACGAUCCACUUCUACCCUGCG